UUUUAAAUUUCAUCCAUUUAUACGGUUAAAACUGACAUAGUUAAUAGAAUAAUCAGAGAUUAACAUGUGAAAUGCCACUUUUACCUCAUGCUGAUGUAUAAAGAUCAAAUUUUAACUGUAGAAAUAAAUAAAAAAUUUUAAAA
Gossypium raimondii (Peruvian cotton) is the source of this 143-nucleotide non-coding RNA. NCBI's taxonomy places the organism in Eukaryota, Viridiplantae, Streptophyta, Magnoliopsida, Malvales, Malvaceae. The record is from Rfam.